This 197-nucleotide small RNA is filed under the name Olea europaea subsp. europaea. Lineage: Eukaryota; Viridiplantae; Streptophyta; Magnoliopsida; Lamiales; Oleaceae. The record is from RNAcentral.
AAUGUUGCUGUUGAUGUUAACAAUUGAGAUUUGGCAACAUUUUUUAAGUGAAUGUUGCGAAUGUCGCCUUUUGCAACGUUUAUUUAGUGUUGCAAAACUUUUUAUUUUUGCAACGUUUAUCAAACGUUGCGAAAAACAUUUUUCGCAACGUUUAUCAGAUGUUGCGAAAGAUCAUUUUUGGCAACGUUUAAUAAACG